RNAcentral lists this ribosomal RNA (845 nucleotides) under Rastrococcus tropicasiaticus. RNAcentral's name for it is "partial large subunit ribosomal RNA". It matches the Rfam family "Eukaryotic large subunit ribosomal RNA", at positions 2327 to 2856 of the family's 3401-position model. The record is from RNAcentral. Lineage: Eukaryota; Metazoa; Arthropoda; Insecta; Hemiptera; Pseudococcidae.
ACGAGAUUCUCAACUGUCCCUAUCUACUAUCUAGCGAAACCACAGCCAAGGGAACGGGCUUGGAAAAAUCAGCGGGGAAAGAAGACCCUGUUGAGCUUGACUCCAGUCUGGCAUUGUUCGGAGACAUGCCGAGGUGUAGCAUAAGUGGGAGAAGUGGAUAACGCGGCGCUCGUCGAGAGGCGGACGUCGUGCCUCGUCGAACUUGAAAUACCACUACUCGCAUCGUUUCCUUACUUACUCGGUGAUGCGGAGCGCGUGCUGUCUGGUCAGUGGUUCGGCCGCUUCGCACGGCGGCGGCGGUCUGACAAGUGCUUGCGGCGUUUUUGCGGCCGUCGUUGGGCGGUCGUGCGGGCGUUUGGGGUGCUCGUGGCUGCUUGUUUGCCGGCGUCGUUGUCGGACCCAUCGCGACCGUCAGUCACGAUCGAUUCCCGGUCGACUUAAGCGCGAUCAUCGCCGCCGGUCGUUGCGCCCGGUCUACGGCGGUCGGUGUGCGCGCGCGGUACGGUCGCUUCGGCGGUUGUCCGCGCGCACGCUGCCGGCCGUCGCCCGGUCGCAGCCUGGCGACGUCGCGUGAUCCGAUCCGAGGACACCGCCAGGUGGGGAGUUUGACUGGGGCGGUACAUCUGUCAAAGAAUAACGCAGGUGUCCUAAGGCCAGCUCAGCGAGGACGGAAACCUCGCGUAGAGCAAAAGGGCAAAAGCUGGCUUGAUCCCGGACGCUCAGUACGCGUAGGGACUGCGAAAGCAUCGGCCUCUCGAUCCUCUCGUCCGCUGAAGGGUUUUCAGCGAGAGGUGUCAGAAAAGUUACCACAGGGGUAACUGGCUUGUGGCGGCCAAGCGUUCAUA